UACCGGCAGCCCGAGUGAUGGCCGUUUUUAUUGGGACUAAAGCGUCCGUAGCUGGCCGCACAAGUCCAUCGGAAAAUCCACCCGCUCAACGGGUGGGCGUCCGGUGGAAACUGUGUGGCUUGGGACCGGAAGGCGCGACGGUUACGUCCGGGGUAGGAGUGAAAUCCCGUAAUCCUGGACGGACCGCCGAUGGCGAAAGCACGUCGCGAGAACGGAUCCGACAGUGAGGUACGAAAGCUAGGGUCUCGAACCGG
This 254-nucleotide ribosomal RNA is filed under the name uncultured archaeon. Its description in RNAcentral is "partial 16S ribosomal RNA". It matches the Rfam family "Archaeal small subunit ribosomal RNA", at positions 474 to 727 of the family's 1478-position model. The record is from RNAcentral.